ACUUAGAUAGCUUAAUACUAAAGCAUAAUAUUGAAGAUAUUAUUAUAGAUUUCAUCUUUUAAGUA
RNAcentral lists this transfer RNA (65 nucleotides) under Aenictopecheidae sp. PJ-2015. RNAcentral describes it as "tRNA-Phe". The record is from RNAcentral. Lineage: Eukaryota; Metazoa; Arthropoda; Insecta; Hemiptera; Aenictopecheidae.